This 252-nucleotide ribosomal RNA is filed under the name uncultured bacterium. RNAcentral's name for it is "partial 16S ribosomal RNA". It matches the Rfam family "Bacterial small subunit ribosomal RNA", at positions 524 to 776 of the family's 1533-position model. The record is from RNAcentral.
UACGUAAGGACCGAGCGUUGUCCGGAAUCAUUGGGCGUAAAGGGUACGUAGGCGGUUAGAAAAGUUAGAAGUGAAAGGCUAUGGCUCAACUAUUGUAAGCUUUUAAAACUGUUUAACUUGAGUGAUGGAAGGGAGAGUGGAAUUCCUAGUGUAGCGGUGAAAUGCGUAGAUAUUAGGAGGGAUACCGGUGGCGAAGGCGACUGUCUGGCCAUUAACUGACGCUGAGGGACGAAAGCGUGGGGAGCAAACAGG